CCUACGGGGGACAGCAGUGAGGAAUAUUGGUCAAUGGACGAGAGUCUGAACCAGCCAAGUAGCGUGAAGGAUGACUGCCCUAUGGGUUGUAAACUUCUUUUAUAUGGGAAUAAAACGUUCCACGUGUGGGAUUUUGUAUGUACCAUAUGAAUAAGGAUCGGCUAACUCCGUGCCAGCAGCCGCGGUAAUACGGAGGAUCCGAGCGUUAUCCGGAUUUAUUGGGUUUAAAGGGAGCGUAGGUGGAUUGUUAAGUCAGUUGUGAAAGUUUGCGGCUCAACCGUAAAAUUGCAGUUGAAACUGGCAGUCUUGAGUACAGUAGAGGUAGGCGGAAUUCGUGGUGUAGCGGUGAAAUGCUUAGAUAUCACGAAGAACUCCGAUUGCGAAGGCAGUUCACUGGACUGCAACUGACACUGAGGCUCGAAAGUGUGGGUAUCAAACAGGAUUAGAUACCCGGGUAGUC
This 460-nucleotide ribosomal RNA is filed under the name uncultured bacterium. RNAcentral describes it as "partial 16S ribosomal RNA". It matches the Rfam family "Bacterial small subunit ribosomal RNA", at positions 338 to 795 of the family's 1533-position model. The record is from RNAcentral.